This 71-nucleotide transfer RNA is filed under the name Cordylochernes scorpioides. RNAcentral describes it as "tRNA-Gly". It matches the Rfam family "tRNA". Rfam says of the family: Transfer RNA (tRNA) molecules are approximately 80 nucleotides in length. Their secondary structure includes four short double-helical elements and three loops (D, anti-codon, and T loops). The record is from RNAcentral. Lineage: Eukaryota; Metazoa; Arthropoda; Arachnida; Pseudoscorpiones; Chernetidae.
GCAUCGGUGGUUCAGUGGUACAAUGCUCGUCUGCCACGCGAGAGGCCCGGGUUCGAUUCCCGGUCGAUGCA